CACAGGGCGUUGCCCUGUGCUGAUAUAUCGCGCCCUUUCAGGGCU
Molecule: small RNA, 45 nt
Rfam family: Acido-Lenti-1 RNA
Source: Rfam